CUGCAGGAAGAGCUGAAGGAACAAACAGGAAGAAGGGUGUUACCCAGAGACUAGAAGCCUGUAGGGAGCUCCCACUCUGUGCCAUUGGGAGACUGUCACCGUCGGUUUUAGCCGCACACGACGUGUCCUGGUGUUGCCUUGGCAGUUAAAGUCUGGAGCCCACCCCACCCUCCAUGGCUACUGUGGCAAGUGUCACAGCCAUGGCACCUGCUUCUUUGCACUUGACAGCAUAGAAUGGAAGCUACUGAUGCCCACCACUAAGGGGCUCUACUCCGAUGCUGAGGUCCCAGCUUGGAGAUGGGGUGAAUGCCAGAUCCUUCCCUCCCUUCUGACAUGAGGUCUUGUCUUGUGUGCCGGUCCUGCUAGGGUGCCAAAGACUCAGCAGCGAAUGACAUCCAGGUCCCAGGUUCAAGGAGCAAUGGGGUUGUGGGCAAAGAAAAUGUGUGUUUGUUAGAUGGUGGUAAAUGCUUCUGGGCCAGGCAGCAGGCAGUGAUGCCCACAGGCCAGAAACGUGGAGAAGACAGCCGGGCCAAGGUGGUCAUGGAGGAGGAGUGGGUAGAGAAGGCUUCCCUCAUCCCAGUCUGAAUCACUAUCACUGGAUGAUGCAUCCAGGCUUCUAGAUGGGGGGCCCACAGCCCACAGCCACCAGCAGAGGCCAUUGGAGCUCUUGAAGACUGGAGCUGUUCAUGGAGGCUCCUGGAGGGGUUUCUGCCCACAGCCGUAGGUCAGGACCUUCUGGGUCCCUGCACCAAUACCUUCCUUGGCCCUGUGGCCCAGAGGUGAUGGAAUUCAGUGAGCCCCAUGCUCCCCCAAACCCAGGCCUGAGGGUGCGGGGUCUGUGUGUUCUACUGGGCUCCCUUCUGGGCGCCCCCUGGAAUCAGAUUUUUAAUUGCCUGUUUUGGUAUCUGUCUCUUCCCUAGACUAUAAAAUGAAGACAGAGAUCAUGGCUCAUUUAUUAUUGAUUCCCCAGUGCCUAAUGUUAAGACCUGCUCUAUUUAUUGAUGGAUCAUGGAAUAUUGGGGAGUAUUAACUGACUGGUCCUGAAAGGGCACAGACCAAAGAUGUACUGUUUAAAGCCAUAUCAUUUUAUUUGAUUCUUGAUCAUUUAGAUGAAAUAAUGCUCAUUUAGGGUUAAAAGACUAAAUGCCAGAAAACUCUUGCUCAGCUGUGCUGGAAGGAGCAGAGUCUGAGUAGUAAUACUUACGGUAAUUGUCUCCAUUUAGAUGAAAUCUGGCUCAGCACAUACAUGGCAUGAUCUUUCCUCUUUGUGAAAAUUUUGUAAGACUUAAGAGUUUGAUUUAGUCACUUUCUGGACUAGCUUCCUGACCUCAGUUUAUGAAAUGACUGGAGAGAACUGAAUGCAACAGCCCUAAAGGAAACUUACCCCAUGAAACCAAUCUUCUAUCAGAAUGGGCUGGCAGUUAGAGAACUCUAUUUGUCUCUGUGGUCACUGAAUCAACCACUGGUCAUCGAGUCUGGGUUCAGAAGACCAUCUGAAUGGACUGAGGCUGAUUUUACUGGUCGUCACAGCAGCCUCAAACAUUUGUUGGAUUUCUUCUCCCAGUUUUUCGACCCCAUGCAGAAUUGGUCAUUCCCACAUUUGUGCCAAUACAGGACAUCGUGCAGACAACUCCUGUGGCAUUAUCACCAUGGUCAUGCUUCUUCCACUAUACAAUCUCAGCAGGCAGUAUUUUACUUCAGCCUUGAAACAGUGAAGAAUA
Long non-coding RNA from Felis catus (domestic cat), 1721 nucleotides. RefSeq lists it as uncharacterized. The transcript is spliced from 2 exons. Lineage: Eukaryota; Metazoa; Chordata; Mammalia; Carnivora; Felidae. The record is from RefSeq and is a predicted model, not a curated record.